This 78-nucleotide transfer RNA is filed under the name Bacteroidota bacterium. Its description in RNAcentral is "tRNA-His". It matches the Rfam family "tRNA". Rfam says of the family: Transfer RNA (tRNA) molecules are approximately 80 nucleotides in length. Their secondary structure includes four short double-helical elements and three loops (D, anti-codon, and T loops). Lineage: Bacteria; Pseudomonadati; Bacteroidota. The record is from RNAcentral.
GUGGAUGUAGCUCAGUUUGGUUAGAGCAUCAGAUUGUGGCUCUGAGGGCCGUGGGUUCGAGUCCCAUCUUCCACCCCA